UACGAGUGCCCCAAGCGUUGUCCGGAAUCACUGGGCGUAAAGGGUCCGUAGGCGGUCAUGUUAGUCUUCUGUUAAAUCGCAGAGCUCAACUCUGCGUCCGCAGGGGAAACGGCAUGACUUGAGAGCAGAAGAGGUGCAUGGAACUCACGGUGUAGGGGUGAAAUCCGUUGAUAUCGUGGGGAACACCAAAGGCGAAGGCAGUGCACUGGUCUGUUUCUGACGCUGAGGAGCGAAAGCGUGGGGAGCAAACAGG
RNAcentral lists this unclassified non-coding RNA (253 nucleotides) under Candidatus Kaiserbacteria bacterium. Its description in RNAcentral is "contains 16S-23S intergenic spacer region". It matches the Rfam family "Bacterial small subunit ribosomal RNA", at positions 524 to 776 of the family's 1533-position model. The record is from RNAcentral. Lineage: Bacteria; Candidatus Kaiseribacteriota.